Molecule: ribosomal RNA, 501 nt
Filed under: uncultured bacterium
Lineage: Bacteria
Description: partial 16S ribosomal RNA
Rfam family: Bacterial small subunit ribosomal RNA
Source: RNAcentral
AUUGAACGCUGGCGGCAUGCCUUACACAUGCAAGUCGAACGGCAGCACGGGUGCUUGCACCUGGUGGCGAGUGGCGAACGGGUGAGUAAUACAUCGGAACGUACCUUACCGUGGGGGAUAACGCAGCGAAAGCUGUGCUAAUACCGCAUACGCCCUGAGGGGGAAAGCGGGGGAUCGCAAGACCUCGCGCGAUUAGAGCGGCCGAUGCCUGAUUAGCUAGUUGGUGGGGUAAAAGCCCACCAAGGCGACGAUCAGUAGCUGGUCUGAGAGGACGAUCAGCCACACUGGGACUGAGACACGGCCCAGACUCCUACGGGAGGCAGCAGUGGGGAAUUUUGGACAAGGGGGGCAACCCUGAUCCAGCAAUGCCGCGUGAGUGAAGAAGGCCUUCGGGUUGUAAAGCUCUUUUGUCAGGGAAGAAACACCGGCUCUAACACAGUCCGGGAAUGACGGUACCUGAAGAAUAAGCACCGGCUAACUACGUGCCAGCCGCCGCAGUAA